GGCAGCAGCCGCGGGAACACCGGCGGCCCGAGUGGUGAUCGUGAUUAUUGGGUCUAAAGGGUCCGUAGCCGGUUUGGUCAGUCCUCCGGGAAAUCUGAUAGCUCAACUAUUAGGCUUUCGGGGGAUACUGCCAGACUUGGAACCGGGAGAGGUAGGAGGUACUACAGGGGUAGGAGUGAAAUCUUGUAAUCCCUGUGGGACCACCUGUGGCGAAGGCGUCUUACCAGAACGGGUUCGACGGUGAGGGACGAAAGCUGGGGGCACGAACCGGAUUAGAUACCCGGGUAGUCCCAGCCGUAACGAUGCUCGCUAGGUGUCAGGCAUGGCGCGACCGUGUCUGGUGCCGCAGGGAAGCCGUGAAGCGAGCCACCUGGGAAGUACGGCCGCAAGGCUGAAACUUAAAGGAAUUGGCGGGGGAGCACAACAACGGGUGGAGCCUGCGGUUUAAUUGGACUCAACGCCGGACAACUCACCGGGGGCGACAGCAAUAUGUAGGCCAAGCUGAAGACUUUGCCUGAAUCGCUGAGAAGAGGUGCAUGG
This 540-nucleotide ribosomal RNA is filed under the name uncultured archaeon. Its description in RNAcentral is "bacterial SSU rRNA". It matches the Rfam family "Archaeal small subunit ribosomal RNA", at positions 457 to 997 of the family's 1478-position model. The record is from RNAcentral.